AGUGAACGCUGGCGGUAGGCCUAACACAUGCAAGUCGAACGGCAGCGCAGGAGAGCUUGCUCUCUGGGUGGCGGGUGGCGGACGGGUGAGGAAUACAUCGGAAUCUACUCUGUCGUGGGGGAUAACGUAGGGAAACUUACGCUAAUACCGCAUACGACCUACGGGUGAAAGCAGGGGACCUUCGGGCCUUGCGCGAUUGAAUGAGCCGAUGUCGGAUUAGCUAGUUGGCGGGGUAAAGGCCCACCAAAGCGACGAUCCGUAGCUGGUCUGAGAGGAUGAUCAGCCACACUGGAACUGAGACACGGUCCAGACUCCUACGGGAGGCAGCAGUGGGGAAUAUUGGACAAUGGGCGCAAGCCUGAUCCAGCCAUACCGCGUGGGUGAAGAAGGCCUUCGGGUUGUAAAGCCCUUUUGUUGGGAAAGAAAUCCAGCUGGCUGAUACCCGGUUGGGAUGACGGUACCCAAAGAAUAAGCACCGGCUAACUUCGUGCCAGCCGCCGCCGUAA
This 506-nucleotide ribosomal RNA is filed under the name uncultured bacterium. RNAcentral describes it as "partial 16S ribosomal RNA". It matches the Rfam family "Bacterial small subunit ribosomal RNA", at positions 29 to 523 of the family's 1533-position model. The record is from RNAcentral.